CGGGGUGCACCAGGCGCGAAAACUUUACAAUGCUGGCAACAGCGAUAAGGGGACCUCGAGUGCCAGGAUACAAUCUUGGCUGUCGUGAUGCCUAAAAAGCAUUACAUAGCAAGGGCCGGGCAAGACCGGUGCCAGCCGCCGCGGUAACACCGGCGGCUCGAGUGGUAACCGCUAUUAUUGGGUCUAAAGGGUCUGUAGCCGGCCGGAUAAGUCUCUUGGGAAAUCCAGCAGCUCAACUGUUGGGCUUCCAGGGGAUACUGUUCGGCUCGAGGCCGGGAGAGGUGAGAGGUACUUCAGGGGUAGGGGUGAAAUCUUGUAAUCCUUGAAGGACCACCAGUGGCGAAGGCGUCUCACCAGAACGGUCCUGACGGCAAGGGACGAAAGCUAGGGGCACGAACCGGAUUAGAUACCCGGGUAGUCCUAGCCGUAAACGAUACUCGCUAGGUGUCGGCCACGGUGCGACCGUGGUCGGUGCCGUAGGGAAGCCGUGAAGCGAGCCACCUGGGAAGUACGGCCGCAAGGCUGAAACUUAAAGGAAUUGGC
Molecule: ribosomal RNA, 543 nt
Filed under: uncultured archaeon
Lineage: Archaea
Description: bacterial SSU rRNA
Rfam family: Archaeal small subunit ribosomal RNA
Source: RNAcentral